CUUUUUUUUUUUUUUUUUUUUUUUAAGACAAAAAAAAUAAUUUGUGCAAAUAUUUCUCUCAUAUGCAAUGUCAUCACUGAGAGAAAGGUUGUGUCAUAGAGAGCAGUGGCAGAGCUCUGCUAAGUAGGACCACAAUGUUCAGGCAAGCAAUGUAUACCCCCCUAUACCCCCUCUGCCCAUACAUCCAUGUGUGCACAUAUUCUUGUUUCAUUCAGAUCCACCAGUACUUAUUUGACUUUGAUGACAAAUGAAUGUUGUGGAAAAAUAAAUGUAAAUAUUAGAAA
Molecule: non-coding RNA, 284 nt
Organism: Biomphalaria pfeifferi
Lineage: Eukaryota; Metazoa; Mollusca; Gastropoda; Planorbidae
Source: the annotation of a GenBank genome assembly